Molecule: long non-coding RNA, 1159 nt
Filed under: Cyanistes caeruleus (blue tit)
Lineage: Eukaryota; Metazoa; Chordata; Aves; Passeriformes; Paridae
Description: lncRNA (ENSCCEG00000000139.1)
Source: RNAcentral
CUAAAAUAGCUCAGAUAUGAGAAUAAAGAGCUGCCUGUAGCUCACAGCCAGGACUGGCUGAGUGCUGCAGGGGCUGGAGCGGGAGCAAGGAGAGCAGGAACGUGUGGUCAGUGGGGAGCAGGGAAUCACCACGCACCAAAACAUGUUUGCAGGCUCUCUUUUGAGAUUGUCAAGAGUUUCUCUCUUAGCAGCCCAGGCAUGUCUAUUGAUUUGCAUGCUGUGGUUUCUGCUCGACAGAUAUGCCGUAGAUUUCGGAAUACUUGCAGCUUAAAAAGAAAAUUCAGCAGCCAAGGAGAGCAAUUCAAGGACUGAUCUCACUUUACUCUUCUCAGGCACAGCUACUACUGCAAGGGGAAGAAAGAGAAAUAAUGAUAUUUCCUCUCAACAGAGAGGAAAUUAUUCAAAAAAACUUUGUGGUGUAUGAGGAUAUAAGAGAGAGGAAAAAUUACUGGUGAAUGAACUGGACCAAAUCCUGAUGCUCUCUGAAUCGGUGUGGAGCCAACGGGCAGGGUUUGGCCCUUGAUGAUUAUAACUCCCUUUUCCUGGCAAUUUACUGAAGCUUUCAGUGAAAUUAUUUCUCAGGAAUAAAGCUGUGUGUGUCAGUGUAAACACUGUGAUCAGUUAAAUGCUAACUAGCACGGGUUUGUGAAGUCUCAUUCGUUAAUCUUUCAGACUGUGUAAGAGAAGACGCUUUUGAAGUGCAAAGUAUUAUCAUUAUCAUGAUACGUUCAUAAAACAGCUUCUGUGCCUCAUUCAGGUGGAAGAACGCUGGAAGUGCCAGAUCUGUGCCAGCUCCCAGCUCUCUGCUGCCUUCCCCAUACUCUCCUCACCUGGAAGGGGUGACAAGCUUCCUGAUGUGCAGCAACUUGAAAUUCCCUCUUGGAUUUCCUGCCUUCCCUGCUGGAACUGCUCUGACACCUGCGUCCUUGCAGGCUGCUCGUAGAUUAUUUCCAUCUUUUGAGGGAUGUCCAGCUCAGGGUUGUCAGGGGUGGUUUCUGAGAGUCCUUGGAGAGGUUAUUGAUGAUUUCCUGACUCCUGAAGGAGCAAAGCCAGGACACUGCUCUUGAAAGGGCAGCUCUGUACCCUGGCAGCAGAGUGGAUGGUGACAGACACCAAAAAUUCCCUUCCCAGGUCAGACCCAACCUUAAAUAAAGUGGAG